Long non-coding RNA from Salvia miltiorrhiza (redroot sage), 1289 nucleotides. RefSeq lists it as uncharacterized. NCBI's taxonomy places the organism in Eukaryota, Viridiplantae, Streptophyta, Magnoliopsida, Lamiales, Lamiaceae. The record is from RefSeq and is a predicted model, not a curated record. The transcript has 3 exons.
UACAACAUUCAAAACCCUAAGUUCCUAAUGAUCUCUCUCCAACUCUCCCUCUCUCGUUCUCUGCCUCCCAUCAAAACCUCCACCCACCCCGCCCUCCUUCUCUUCUCCGGCGUCGUCGGCCGCGGUGCCUGGAUCCAGCGAAGCCGUGCCUCUAUUUCUCCUCAUAUCUCAACAGAUUUUCACCUCUCUCCUUCUCAUCCCUCAAUUCCUCAGUUCGUGCCCUAGAUCUUCUUCCAAAAUGUUGUCACCUCAAGGAUCUCCGCCACGAUUAGCUCCGGCGAGGCUGGCUGCCGCCGCCUCUGAAAUUGGCGAGGCAAUCGUCAUCCCCUGUUCUUACCGAUGGAGGCGAGGCGGUGCUUUGUCCUUGGCCUCGGCCGAUGAUUAUAGCAGUCAAUGUCGCGCCUCUCUCUCUCUCUCUCUCUCUCUCUCUCUCUCUCCCAUCGUCCUUCUCGGUCUUCAGCACCCCAAAUCCUAAACCCUAGGUUGUCGCAGGUGGCCUAUCAUCGAAGCCUCUCAGGAAAUCCAACUUUCCCUUCACGACCUAUCUCGCGCUCCUCUCUUUUUUCCCCAAAUCUAGAAACCUAGGUCAUUUGUCGCCACCGCCACCGCCUCCAUCGGUAGUCGCCUCCCUCGCACUGAAAUACUCGAAUUUUGAAGGCGGAGGCCCUCUCUCUCUCAGAUAAUAUGCACAAAUUGGGUUCCUGAACUCUGCACAAUUCUCUCCUUAUCUAUCUCCACUCUCCAACUCCAGUUGAGACUGUAUUCCAUGAAUUUGGCCAUGCUCUUCAGCAUAUGCUGAAGAGGCAGGAUGAGGGUUUUGCUGGUAUAAGGAAUGUAGAGUGGGAUGCCGUGGAAACAAGGCAGGAUGAGUUUUGGGAGGAUGGCAAGAUCUUUAGCUAAUUUUCUUUACAAAGGCAUUGCUGCAUUUUCAGCUGCUAGUUCAACUGUAAGUUUAUUUAGUUUUAUGUUUGCUUGAAUAUCUCUAAACUACGCAUUUUUUCAUAGCUUGUGAGCAGCUUAAUUGCAUCACCUUUCUCAUUUCCUAACAGAUUGGUUAAAUAGGAAGCAUGAUCAGCUUCAGUAUUCUUAUUGCAUGAGCGAAAAUUGUUAGUUUAUUCACUCAACUUAUUUUUCCAUUAUCAUAUAAAAUUUUAACUUGUAAUUAGUUUUAUUUUUCUGUUUUAAUAUCUGAUGAACUGUUACAUUUAAUGGCAAUAUACUUGUGAAUAUGUGUUGAACCAAGAAUUAGUUUAUCAGUAUAUAGUCUUUCAACCUGUACUAAAUGCAUG